RNAcentral lists this ribosomal RNA (388 nucleotides) under uncultured bacterium. Its description in RNAcentral is "bacterial SSU rRNA". It matches the Rfam family "Bacterial small subunit ribosomal RNA", at positions 29 to 417 of the family's 1533-position model. The record is from RNAcentral.
AACGAACGCUGGCGGCAUGCCUUACACAUGCAAGUCGAACGGCAGCACGGGAGCAAUCCUGGUGGCGAGUGGCGAACGGGUGAGUAAUGUAUCGGAACGUACCUUUCAGUGGGGGAUAACGUAGCGAAAGUUACGCUAAUACCGCAUAUUCUGUGAGCAGGAAAGCAGGGGAUCGCAAGACCUUGCGCUGAUUGAGCGGCCGAUAUCAGAUUAGCUAGUUGGUGAGGUAAAGGCUCACCAAGGCGACGAUCUGUAGCGGGGUCUGAGAGGAUGAUCCGCCACACUGGAACUGAGACACGGUCCAGACUCCUACGGGAGGCAGCAGUGGGGAAUUUUGGACAAUGGGGGCAACCCUGAUCCAGCCAUGCCGCGUGAGUGAAGAAGGCCU